This 119-nucleotide ribosomal RNA is filed under the name Pteropus alecto (black flying fox). The record is from RNAcentral. Lineage: Eukaryota; Metazoa; Chordata; Mammalia; Chiroptera; Pteropodidae.
GUCUACAGCCAUGCCACUCUGAACAAGCCCGAUCCUGUCUGAACUUGGAAGCUGAGCAGGGUCGGGCCUGGUUAGUACUUGGAUGAGAGACCACCUAGGAAGACCAGGUGCUGUAGGUU